GAAACAAUUGCUAAGACUGGAUAGGAAAAGUAAAGGCAUCUUUGCUUUUUUAAAAGAUCUUCUUUGAAGGUAUGCUUAAGGAGGGGCUUGCGACACAUUAGUUAGUUGGCAGGGUAAAGGCCUACCAAGACUAUGAUGUGUAGCUGGACUGAGAGGUUGAACAGCCACAUUGGGACUGAGACACGGCCCAAACUCCUACGGGAGGCAGCAGUAGGGAAUUUUCGGCAAUGGAGGAAACUCUGACCGAGCAACGCCGCGUGAACGAUGAAGUACCUCGGUAUGUAAAGUUCUUUUAUUAAGGAAGAAAAAAGAGUGGAAAAACUCCCUUGACGGUACUUAAUGAAUAAGCCCCGGCUAAUUAUGUGCCAGCAGCCGCGGUAAUACAUAAGGGGCGAGCGUUAUCCGGAAUUAUUGGGCGUAAAGGGUGCGUAGGCGGUUUAAUAAGUCUAUAGUUUAAUUUCAGUGCUUAACGCUGUUGUGCUAUAGAAACUGUUUUACUAGAGUGAGAUAGAGGCAAGCGGAAUUCCAUGUGUAGCGGUAAAAUGCGUAAAUAUAUGGAGGAACACCAGAGGCGUAGGCGGCUUGCUGGGUCUUUACUGACGCUGAGGCACGAAAGCGUGGGGAGCAAACAGGAUUAGAUACCCUGGUAGUCCACGCCGUAAACGAUGAGUACUAAGUGUCGGGUAAAACUGGUACUGAAGUUAACACAUUAAGUACUCCGCCUGAGUAGUACGUACGCAAGUAUGAAACUUAAAGGAAUUGACGGGACUCCGCACAAGCGGUGGAUCAUGUUGUUUAAUUCGAAGAUACACGAAAAACCUUACCAGGUCUUGACAUUUUCUUGCGAAAUUAUAGAAAUAUAAUGGAGGUUAUCAGGAAAACAGGUGGUGCAUGGUUGUCGUCAGCUCGUGUCGUGAGAUGUUAGGUUAAGUCCUAAAACGAGCGCAACCCUUGUCGUUAAUUGCCAGCAUGUAAUGAUGGGGACUUUAACGAGACUGCCAAUGAAAAAUUGGAGGAAGGUGGGGAUUACGUCAAAUCAUCAUGCCCCUUAUGAUCUGGGCUACAAACGUGAUACAAUGGUUGAUACAAAGAGUAGCUGAAACGCGAGUUCUUAGCCAAUCUCAAAAAAUCAAUCUCAGUUCGGAUUGAAGUCUGCAACUCGACUUCAUGAAGUUGGAAUCGCUAGUAAUCGCGAAUCAGCAUGUCGCGGUGAAUACGUUCUCGGGGUUUGUACACACCGCCCGUCA
Molecule: ribosomal RNA, 1247 nt
Filed under: Candidatus Phytoplasma pruni
Lineage: Bacteria; Bacillati; Mycoplasmatota; Mollicutes; Acholeplasmatales; Acholeplasmataceae
Description: bacterial SSU rRNA
Rfam family: Bacterial small subunit ribosomal RNA
Source: RNAcentral